GCCGCCGGUGUGGCAGUGGUUGGAGCAUGACCAUGUUGAUGAUGAGCUGUCAUUCCAAGAGGUUUUCUAGAUAGAAAUUCCUUUUCAGGGAGAAUAGAGGAACGGAACCUUUUGACGUAUUCUUUAUGGCAGGAGGGUUUCAUGCCUAUAAUCCCAGCACUUGGAAGACGGAGAUAAAAGGGUCGCGGUGAAUUUGAGGACAGCCUGCACUACAGAUUUGCAUACUUGAAGCUUCCUGCUUCCUCCCCGGCCCUGCUCAAAGAUGAGGCUCUCCAUCACUAAGUCUGUUUCCCUAUCCCAGAUGAGGGGGCUUCAAAACACGCAGAGUAAACACUUGACUUUUAGGGAUUUGCUGCUACAACUGUAAUAAUGAAAUGACUGGGAUUACCACUUUCUAUCCGACUAAAAAAAGGAAUCUGAAACUCUGCCCUACAGUGAUCUGAGCAUGAGAGCAUUGAUUGAAAACUUUUUUUUCCCAGCUGAGACCUCCAAUUUACAGAAGAGCCAGGAGCCUCUAUGGGCUUUCUUCCCUACUGAUAUCAACAUCCAGCCUAUUGAAAAAGGACUUAAAACUUUGCUUGAGGUGGGAGGUGGUGAUAGUGGUACAUACUAAAAAUGUGGUUUCCAGUUCCUGAAGAGGAAAUACAGUACUGUUGACAUCGG
Molecule: long non-coding RNA, 663 nt
Filed under: Mus caroli (Ryukyu mouse)
Lineage: Eukaryota; Metazoa; Chordata; Mammalia; Rodentia; Muridae
Description: lncRNA (MGP_CAROLIEiJ_G0005253.1)
Source: RNAcentral